This is a long non-coding RNA of Delphinapterus leucas (beluga whale), 755 nucleotides long. RefSeq lists it as uncharacterized. Lineage: Eukaryota; Metazoa; Chordata; Mammalia; Artiodactyla; Monodontidae. The record is from RefSeq and is a predicted model, not a curated record.
UCUCGGGCUGCGCGCGGAGCCGGGGACCUGCGAUGCAGGAGCCCCGGGCGCGGCCCAGGCGCGCACCAGGCAGGCGGCGCAGGCGGCGGCGAGCAGCAGCAGCGCGGCGCUCACGGCCCAGGGCAGCGGGUGGCAGGAGCGGCCCGAGGGCGCGAGCGGCCGCUGAGCUUCGGGGUCCGGGGCGGCGUAGGUGCUGGAGUGCAUGGCCGGCUGCGGGCGGCUGCGGUCCGAGGCCGCUGCACCGCGCUUUAUAUGCAAUCCCGAAGCCCCCCUUUCCGGGGUGUGGCCCGUGGGGAUCCCAGAGAUCCGCCCGGUGCUGAACGUUUCCGUUUUACCAGCGGUUUAUAAAGCACAAGGCCCAGACCAGCAUCACCUGGGAACUUGCUAGCUCUGCAAAUUCUAGCACCUCACCCGAGACCUACUGACAUUCUGAGAGUGGAAGCCCUGCAAUCAGUGUCUGAAGGAGCGUUCCAGAAGAUUCUGACACUUGCCCAAGUUGGAGAAUCCACUGCAUGGUACCAAGGUUGUUCCUUCACACCUGCUGUCCCCCUGCCUGGAAUGUUCUUUCCCCAGAUCUGCGGCCAGCUGUCCUUCUGAGUAAAGAGGAUGAAUUAAGCUCCGGCCCCUACUUUCACUCUCUCCCCAAACCCCACUGCAGUGAUAGUAUAAGCGACUGUUUUAAAAGCUACACCAAAAAUUGUAAGCCAUCGGGGUGGAAUGCCAAAUAUAAUUUCCCUAGCCAAAUGCCACAAUCA